CGUUCUCCAGCCACGACUGAACAAAUAUAAUCUCCAUGUUCUCUUUUUGUGCUACAUAAUUGCAACUGAGAUCUGUGAACCAGAAAUAUGAUAGUGCAGGUUCCUGAACUGAGAUCGUGCAGUUAGAUUGUGCAGUUGCCUGAACAACAUUUCCAAGAAUUGCCGUCGGAGCAGAUGCCUGCCUCUACACAACUCAGGAUAAAAUGAGACCGAUCUCCUACCCCUGGCUCUGCUACUUGGGCCUCCUGAUUGUGAGCCUUUGUUUCAGAAGGGGAACCUGCUAUCGAGACAUUUAUCAAUCUGACUGCAAUGGCGCCUCCAACUGCUACAAGAAAUGCCCCAAAGAGUGGGCGUUCUAUAAGGACACCUGCUACGGAUUCUUCACCGACCCUGUCCCCUGGACUGAGGCAGA
Anolis carolinensis (green anole) is the source of this 412-nucleotide long non-coding RNA. RefSeq lists it as uncharacterized. The record is from RefSeq and is a predicted model, not a curated record. Lineage: Eukaryota; Metazoa; Chordata; Lepidosauria; Squamata; Anolidae. The transcript has 3 exons.